UUUGACCUCAGAUCAGA
This 17-nucleotide ribosomal RNA is filed under the name Arthrobotrys multisecundaria. Its description in RNAcentral is "partial large subunit ribosomal RNA". Lineage: Eukaryota; Fungi; Ascomycota; Orbiliomycetes; Orbiliales; Orbiliaceae. RNAcentral also lists the same sequence under 1 other name. The record is from RNAcentral.